UACGGAGGGUGCAAGCGUUAAUCGGAAUUACUGGGCGUAAAGGGUGCGUAGGUUGUUGAUUAAGUUAUCUGUGAAAUUCCUGGGCUCAACCUGGGCAGGUCAGAUAAUACUGAUGAACUAGAGUAUAGGAGAGGGUAGUGGAAUUUCCGGUGUAGCGGUGAAAUGCGUAGAGAUCGGAAGGAACACCAGUGGCGAAGGCGGCUACCUGGCCUGAUACUGACACUGAGGCACGAAAGCGUGGGGAGCAAACAGG
Molecule: ribosomal RNA, 253 nt
Filed under: uncultured bacterium
Lineage: Bacteria
Description: partial 16S ribosomal RNA
Rfam family: Bacterial small subunit ribosomal RNA
Source: RNAcentral